UUUUAAAAACAACUAUCUCACGGCCAACCCUAAUCUAAAACUUCAUUCCCCAAUCCCCUCCGAUUCUCUCAAAUUGUCAUCUCACUCUAACUUGGUUUACAAGAAAAUUCAGUUAUCUUAGAUUUCGAGAUGCAUUUGAUUAUUAAAAAAAAUGAGUUUCCUCCUUUAUAUGGCUCGAUGUAUAUGGAGACAGUUAUUGAUUAGGGUUUGUAGUUUGGCUUGAUAUUCGGGCGGAGUGGAAGUCGUGAGACUACACCUUUGCAGGUUCGCUUCCAAGACUGUAUUAUACUUAUGUUUGCCAUGUAUACUUGAUCAGAUGGUCUGUUUGUAUUAUACUUACGUCCACAUAUAUGAUGAUGAUGGAAACCCGAAUCAGACUCCUGUCGUGUUAUCUUCAGAAAUAGUUGCUAUCAUUCAGUUUCCUGAAAGGUAUUUAAAUGUGACACCAUGGAGAGCAGAAUGGGUGUAACAAAUUCAGUCUAUGGCAAUGGAGUAGCUAAGGACGCUUUGCCACCGCCUCCACCUGUUUCAGAAGAUGUUGAACAAGCUCUGGAUCUAGAAACCAUGUUAAACAUGAUAAAUGGCUGAGAAGCAAGUGAAGGAAAAGUCAUUUGUGUCAAACCACAGCAGCAGCAAAACGAAGUCAAACUCCAAGGGCAUACAACGAGGCGAUAAAGAGAAAAAAAACCUAGGUUUGGAGGCUUUUAUGUCAUUGCAAUUUGUGGAAAUUCAAGUGCUGCUUAUUCCAUAGAUGGCCGUGUCCUUUCUUUGGCUGCUCGCGUGUCAGUCGAUACAAAUUCAGCGAAAGAAAGGGUAUUGCUUUGGGGGCUGCAGCAGUGUUUGAAAGAGGUGAUUAAGUUGAUGGCCAAUGAGAUGCUGAGGAGAUCACACCUUAGGAUUAGUAAAUUAAGAAUGCAUUGUAGACAUUGUAUGUCAAUAAGAAAAUUGUAAAGCUGGCUGCUUAUAAAAUGUAUGUCAAAAUGAAAUUUACUGAAGUCCCUUUAUAGUUAUGCCAAUGGUAAUGCUUGAUAUACAGGAUUUUUGAGCUAUGAAAAUAACUGCAAUGGAAGUUUGGUUUUUGUAAAAA
Molecule: long non-coding RNA, 1087 nt
Organism: Erigeron canadensis
Lineage: Eukaryota; Viridiplantae; Streptophyta; Magnoliopsida; Asterales; Asteraceae
Exons: 7
Source: RefSeq, a predicted model, not a curated record